GUCAGAAAUAAGAAAAUAAUAUGGAAAGGCAAAAUGCUGCUUCACCAUUUUCAUUUUCAAAUUUUAACACUAUCACUCCUCCUUCUUCUCCGAUGAAGUUCGGAUUUUCAUCUACUGAUUCCGGCUCUUCCUCGCCGGUUGCCGGUGAUACAGUUCCUGGACUAUCGGCUACAGUUCCUUCGUGGUUGCUCGGAACUAGUUUCGUUUCAACUGAUAACUCUACUUUACCUUGGUUUUCGAAUGCGAGCUCAUCAACUGUGAUUUCGUCAUCUUUAGGACCGACUACUACAAACAAUUGUUUUGCGGAUUCACUAUCAUCAGUCACUUCGCCUUCUUCGGUUUCAGAAAUUACUACUACGGUAUCAGCCACUUCAACUUCUUCUCUCUCUGGAAAAGUAUCUGUGUCAACUUCUUCACCACCACAACCAACCGUCUCAGCACCGGGAUUUGUAACUGUUCCUGCUAGUUGUUCACUCGAGCAGGAUGAGGUUGCUGCAAUUUUGGCAAGACAAUGUGAGAAGCUUCUGUCCCGCCAAGCUCAAGGCAGAGGGCAAAAUGAAAAGCAUGUUUCAGUCUCUCAGCCUUGUGCCUAUGGAGCAACAGUACUUGAAAUUACAAGCUCAAGCAAGCCUGUCGGUGAUGCUGCUUAUAUACCUGCUGCUACUGCUGAACAGAAAUAUGGGGAGUCCAAGCCGUGCAGUGUUCCCAUUACUGGUGUCCCUUCAACCUCCACUCCUUCAGUCCCGAUGGGCUCAAAGUCAGGCAGCUCAUUGCUUUCAAGCUCACAGCCUAUUGAGGAGGAGCAACCUUGCCUUCCACCUGUCGAUCUUCUGGACUCAACAAUUGAAAUGUGGGAGCGGGUUGUCGUGAAUAACAAGACGGAUCAAGAGGUCACUGAAGAGGGGCUUCGUCACUUCUACGAGGGCAUCAACUAUUUUUGUCUCCUGUCAGAACGCCUUCUAUUAGUCACUGAUAAGUAUGAUGAGGAGGCAAAAGUGAGGGAUGACAAGGAAAAGAUGACCUCUUCUUUGAAAGAUAAGUUGGCUAAAGUCAGUCGGAAGCUCGAGGACUCUAAGAAGGAGAAGGAGAGACUUGAGCAUGAGUUGGCCGGGGCUGCAAACAAGAUAACUGCUCUAACUGGUGAGAAGGACUCUAUUUUGCUGGUCCAGACGAUCCUUCACCAAACUAUCUCCGAGCUGAGAAGGGAAUUGGAGGAGGCUGCUCCUGCUGCUAUCCAGAAAUACAAGGCUUCCUCCCUGUACAGACAGGAGCUCAUGGAGUACGCUGCUCCUUACAUGGGAAAUGGGGUGAAGCUGGCCAUAGAGAAGAU
This 1330-nucleotide unclassified non-coding RNA is filed under the name Hevea brasiliensis (rubber tree). The record is from RNAcentral. Lineage: Eukaryota; Viridiplantae; Streptophyta; Magnoliopsida; Malpighiales; Euphorbiaceae.